Molecule: ribosomal RNA, 498 nt
Filed under: uncultured bacterium
Lineage: Bacteria
Description: bacterial SSU rRNA
Rfam family: Bacterial small subunit ribosomal RNA
Source: RNAcentral
AUUGAACGCUGGCGGCAGGCCUAACACAUGCAAGUCGAGCGAGAAAGGUCUUCGGACUGAGUACAGCGGCGGACGGGUGAGUAAAGCGUAGGAAUCUACCUGGUAGUGGGGGAUAACUUGGGGAAACUCAAACUAAUACCGCAUACGCCCUACGGGGAAAGCGGGGACCUUCGGGCCUCGCGCUAUCAGAUGAGCCUGCGUAGGAUUAGCUAGUUGGUGAGGUAAAGGCUCACCAAGGCGACGAUCCUUAGCUGGUCUGAGAGGAUGAUCAGCCACACUGGGACUGAGACACGGCCCAGACUCCUACGGGAGGCAGCAGUGGGGAAUAUUGCGCAAUGGGCGGAAGCCUGACGCAGCCAUGCCGCGUGUGUGAAGAAGGCCUUAGGGUUGUAAAGCACUUUCAAUUGGGAAGAAAGUUGGUCGUUAAUAGCGGCCAGCCCUGACAUUACCUUUAGAAGAAGGACCGGCUAACUCCGUGCCAGCAGCCGCGGUAAAGUC